GACGAACGCUGGCGGCGUGCUUAACACAUGCAAGUCGAACGGAAAGGCCCUGCUUUUGUGGGGUGCUCGAGUGGCGAACGGGUGAGUAACACGUGAGUAACCUGCCCUUGACUUUGGGAUAACUUCAGGAAACUGGGGCUAAUACCGGAUAGGAGCUCCUGCUGCAUGGGGGGGGUUGGAAAGUUUCGGCGGUUGGGGAUUGACUCGCGGCUUAUCAGCUGGUUGGUGGGGUAGUGGCUUACCAAGGCUUUGACGGGUAGCCGGCCUGAGAGGGUGACCGGCCACCUUGGGCCUGCGGUACGGCCCAGACUCCUACGUGAGGCAGCAGUCGGGAAUAUUGCACAAUGGGCGGAAGCCUGAUGCAGCAACGCCGCGUGCGGGAUGCCGGCCUUUGGGUUGUAAACCGCUUUCGCCUGUGCCGAAGCGUGAGUGACGGUAAUGGGUAAAGAAGCACCGGCUAACUACGUG
Molecule: ribosomal RNA, 468 nt
Filed under: uncultured bacterium
Lineage: Bacteria
Description: partial 16S ribosomal RNA
Rfam family: Bacterial small subunit ribosomal RNA
Source: RNAcentral